UACGAAGGGUGCAAGCGUUAAUCGGAAUUACUGGGCGUAAAGGGUGCGUAGGCGGUUCGUUAAGUCUGUUGUGAAAUCCCCGGGCUCAACCUGGGAAUGGCAAUGGAUACUGGCGGGCUAGAGUGUGUCAGAGGAUGGUGGAAUUCCCGGUGUAGCGGUGGAAUGCGCAGAUAUCAGGAGGAACACCGGUGGCUAAGGCGGCUCUCUAGUACGGUACUGACGCUGAGACGCGAAAGCGUGGGGAGCGAACAGG
RNAcentral lists this ribosomal RNA (253 nucleotides) under uncultured bacterium. RNAcentral describes it as "partial 16S ribosomal RNA". It matches the Rfam family "Bacterial small subunit ribosomal RNA", at positions 524 to 776 of the family's 1533-position model. The record is from RNAcentral.